RNAcentral lists this ribosomal RNA (201 nucleotides) under uncultured bacterium. RNAcentral's name for it is "partial 16S ribosomal RNA". It matches the Rfam family "Bacterial small subunit ribosomal RNA", at positions 328 to 539 of the family's 1533-position model. The record is from RNAcentral.
ACGCUCGACACCUACGGGAGGCAGCAGUCGGGAAUAUUGCGCAAUGGAGGAAACUCUGACGCAGUGACGCCGCGUGCAGGAAGAAGGUUUUCGGAUUGUAAACUGCUUUAGACAGGGAAGAAAGAAAUGACAGUACCUGUAGAAUAAGCUCCGGCUAACUACGUACCAGCAGCCGCGGUAAUCUGAGCGGGCUGGCAAGGC